CCUAGAAGAUAGGGCUUCUCCUUCGGGAGCAGAGUGACAGGUGGUGCAUGGUUGUCGUCAGCUCGUGUCGUGAGAUGUUGGGUUAAGUCCCGCAACGAGCGCAACCCUUGAUCUUAGUUGCCAUCAUUUAGUUGGGCACUCUAAGGUGACUGCCGGUGACAAACCGGAGGAAGGUGGGGAUGACGUCAAAUCAUCAUGCCCCUUAUGACCUGGGCUACACACGUGCUACAAUGGACGGUACAAAGAGCUGCAAGACCGCGAGGUGGAGCUAAUCUCAUAAAACCGUUCUCAGUUCGGAUUGUAGGCUGCAACUCGCCUACAUGAAGCUGGAAUCGCUAGUAAUCGCGGAUCAGCAUGCCGCGGUGAAUACGUUCCCGGGCCUUGUACACACCGCCCGUCACACCACGAGAGUUUGUAACACCCGAAGUCGGUGGGGUAACCUUUUGGAACCCACCCGCCUAAGGUGGAACAAAUAAUGGGGGUGAAUUCUUACCAAGGUACCCGAUUCGAAAGGUGCGGCUGAAUCCCCAAAAAA
This 535-nucleotide ribosomal RNA is filed under the name Bacillus cereus. RNAcentral describes it as "bacterial SSU rRNA". It matches the Rfam family "Bacterial small subunit ribosomal RNA", at positions 999 to 1533 of the family's 1533-position model. The record is from RNAcentral. Lineage: Bacteria; Bacillati; Bacillota; Bacilli; Caryophanales; Bacillaceae.